This 69-nucleotide transfer RNA is filed under the name Rattus norvegicus (Norway rat). It matches the Rfam family "tRNA". Rfam says of the family: Transfer RNA (tRNA) molecules are approximately 80 nucleotides in length. Their secondary structure includes four short double-helical elements and three loops (D, anti-codon, and T loops). The record is from Rfam by way of RNAcentral. Lineage: Eukaryota; Metazoa; Chordata; Mammalia; Rodentia; Muridae.
GGGGAUUUAGCUCAGUGGUAGAGCGUUUGCCUAGCAAUCACAAGGCCCUGGGUUCGGUCCCCAGCUCCG